RNAcentral lists this ribosomal RNA (253 nucleotides) under uncultured bacterium. RNAcentral describes it as "partial 16S ribosomal RNA". It matches the Rfam family "Bacterial small subunit ribosomal RNA", at positions 524 to 776 of the family's 1533-position model. The record is from RNAcentral.
UACGGAGGGGGCUAGCGUUGUUCGGAAUUACUGGGCGUAAAGCGCGCGUAGGCGGACCUGCAAGUCGGGGGUGAAAGCCCGAGGCUCAACCUGGGAAUGGCAUUGGAAACUAGCGGGCUGGAGUGUGGCAGAGGGGGGUGGAAUUCCACGUGUAGCAGUGAAAUGCGUAGAGAUGUGGAGGAACACCGAUGGCGAAGGCAGCCCCCUGGGCUAACACUGACGCUCAUGCACGAAAGCGUGGGGAGCAAACAGG